This 899-nucleotide long non-coding RNA is filed under the name Marmota monax (woodchuck). Lineage: Eukaryota; Metazoa; Chordata; Mammalia; Rodentia; Sciuridae. The record is from RNAcentral.
CAAAUCUUGACAAGAGGGCCAUCGAUGGCAAUGACGAACUGAUGGGAACCACAAGGAGGCACUUGUGGAAAUUCAUUUACCUUCCCUGGCAUUCAGGUAUGUGAAAAGACUACAAUACUGGUAAGACAGGCCCUACGAUCCUGCAGCCACAGUCCUCUUCCUACCCACACAUGAGUUUCUGACCAUGGGUGGAAUUCCCUGGAGCCCAAACCUGCUUGCUCAUUUUAUAAUAAUAGUCAGGGUAUCAAGUUUGAACUGAUAUUAUGGACAGAAUGUUUGCAUACCACCCCCCCACCAAAACAAACAAACAAAUAAACAAACAAAAACCUCCAUCUGUUGAUGCCCUAAGCACCAAUUUGAAGGUGGUGCCUUGGGAAAUAAAUAGGGCUAAGUUAGGUCAUGAGGUUGGGAUCUUUACAAUGGGAUUAGUGUCCCUAUGAAAAGAGGAGGAGCUUUCUCUGUGCUUUAUGAAGACACAGUGAGAAGGUGACUGUCUAUAAGCCAGGAAGAGCUUUUGCCAGGAACUAAAUCGACUGGAACCUUCAUCUUGGACUUUGAGGCCUCCAGAAGUGUGAGAAAUUCCUGUUGCUUAACCCAGACAAUCUCCUGUACUCAUUUUAUGAAGGCAGCCCAAGCAGCCUAAGAGACUUGAAGUUUAGGCUUCUGAGGAUUUGAUAAACAAAUUGGAUUUCUCAGAGAUACUGUUUGAUGGCCGAACAUUUCUUCGUAUUCAUUCUUUCCUCAUUUUUAUCAAUAAUCAUUAUCACACCUCAUCAGCAAGUUCAUUACUUUAUCAGAUAAGUAUUUAUCAAGCAUGUAUUAAUGUAGCUAUUUUGGCCUUAAGCUCUGAAUAGGGUACAAAGAAGAAUGAGCAUCCAUCAUUGUAAUUGAAACUCUCA